AAGUCGUAACAAGGUUUCCGUAGGUGAACCUGCGGAAGGAUCAUUAACACUUAUUAUUAUCCAAUAUCAAAAAUAAAACCAAACGGCAUCUUUUCUUCUCCCUAUUUCGACUACCGGAGACGGGUCGAUUAGGCUAACCUUUUUUUUUCAAUUAUAACCCCAUUUAAUUUAUGUCUAUUUAUUUAUAGAUAUAAACAAAACCAACUCUUCUUUUGUUCAAGUGUGGUUUUACAUCACACAAACAACAAUAAGAACUAAACUAAAAUAUACAUUUGAUUAUAUUUUUAUUUUACGAAAUAAUAUAUAUUUAUAAGAACAACUCUUAGCAAUGGAUAUCUUGGUUCUC
Molecule: unclassified non-coding RNA, 346 nt
Filed under: fungal sp.
Lineage: Eukaryota; Fungi
Description: partial internal transcribed spacer region
Rfam family: Eukaryotic small subunit ribosomal RNA (bases 1-46)
Source: RNAcentral